RNAcentral lists this ribosomal RNA (596 nucleotides) under Listeria monocytogenes. RNAcentral describes it as "bacterial SSU rRNA". It matches the Rfam family "Bacterial small subunit ribosomal RNA", at positions 1 to 578 of the family's 1533-position model. The record is from RNAcentral. Lineage: Bacteria; Bacillati; Bacillota; Bacilli; Caryophanales; Listeriaceae.
UUUAAAGAGAGUUUGAUCCUGGCUCAGGACGAACGCUGGCGGCGUGCCUAAUACAUGCAAGUCGAACGAACGGAGGAAGAGCUUGCUCUUCCAAAGUUAGUGGCGGACGGGUGAGUAACACGUGGGCAACCUGCCUGUAAGUUGGGGAUAACUCCGGGAAACCGGGGCUAAUACCGAAUGAUAAAGUGUGGCGCAUGCCACGCUUUUGAAAGAUGGUUUCGGCUAUCGCUUACAGAUGGGCCCGCGGUGCAUUAGCUAGUUGGUAGGGUAAUGGCCUACCAAGGCAACGAUGCAUAGCCGACCUGAGAGGGUGAUCGGCCACACUGGGACUGAGACACGGCCCAGACUCCUACGGGAGGCAGCAGUAGGGAAUCUUCCGCAAUGGACGAAAGUCUGACGGAGCAACGCCGCGUGUAUGAAGAAGGUUUUCGGAUCGUAAAGUACUGUUGUUAGAGAAGAACAAGGAUAAGAGUAACUGCUUGUCCCUUGACGGUAUCUAACCAGAAAGCCACGGCUAACUACGUGCCAGCAGCCGCGGUAAUACGUAGGUGGCAAGCGUUGUCCGGAUUUAUUGGGCGUAAAGCGCGCGCAGGCGG